GUGAAGGGAUUCCUUGUUUUGUUUCUCCCUUAAACUGUUUUUAUCUCAACGCAGGAAAUUUCUCACUUUUCUGAUUCUCUCCCCUAUCCCACUGUGGAGGAGUGACUGUUGUGGAAGGCUCCUGUUUGCCACAGGGCUCGCUUGCCUGAGUCUAGUGCUCAUUAGUGGCUGCUCACUGAACUGCUGUGCUGCUUAUCACCUUACUCUGCGGUGCCUGGGAACAUUUCGAUAACGGCAGUGGCAAUGUGUCGGGCUGGCAGAUGGCCAGAGCUGCUGCUGCUGUUCUGGACAGGCUGGAGCUCCAGUGUGAACUCGAGUGGAAGGGCCUGUGAUCUGUGGGUGAGCCCAUGUGGGAGCUGGGCACCCUGAGGCUUCUGUGGCCCUGGAUAAGGCCACGCCAGAGCAGGUACAUCUUGCAGCAUCUGUGGCUGUGGUUACGUCUGUGCCGCAGCAGCUGGACCUCGGAAGGGAUUGUGGCCCAAGGCUAAGUCCGUGCUGGAGAAGGCACACCUUAAAACAUCAGGGGCUAUGCUUGUGGUCUUGCAGGAGCACCCCAAAGUGUGUGGCUGUGAUAAGCCCAGGAGAGAGUAAAUAGACCCCUGGAGGGACUGCAGUCAUGGGUAAGGCCAUGCUGAAGCAGAUUUACUUGCAAAGGGACUGGCUGUGGGUGAGGCCAUGCUGGAGCAGGAACAUCUCUGAAAGCGUUGUGGCCCAUGGAAAAGACCAUGCUGAAACUGGUCUACAUCAAAGCAGCUGUGGCUGUGGGUAAGUCCAUGCCCCAGCAUACAGACCCCCAAAGAGUCUGUGGUUCGUAGGUAAGGCUUCACUUGGAGCAGGUACACUCCUAAGGGACUGUGGUCUGUGGAAAAGUCCAAGCCAGAGCAGGGAAAGCAGAAGAGUUAACUGCAGUUUUAAACGCCAUGGUCUGCUCUGAAUGAACCAGAGGUGGAGCUUGUAAUGGAAACAUCUCGACGCUGUUGUAAUGUGGAAUUUGAGCUGUGUAUUGUAGGAAUUACAACAGCAGGAAUCACCCAAACCAGUGGAGGAGCCUUAGAGGAAGCAGUGCAAGUACAGCAGUGACCUGACCUGACCUGACCUGCCCUGCCCUGCCCUGCCCUGCCCUGCCUUGCCUUUGGUGCCCACUAACUCCACACAACACACCACCUCUCCUGUCCUGACCGAAGUCAUGGACUAAAUGAAUUCAAAAGGACAUUUUGUGGAUGUUUGUGGGUGCUUGACAGACAUUUCACAGGGGUGAUCCAUAGACUAAGGAAAAGAUACCUGUGUAUUGUAUCAGAGGAUGGUGACAGUGGUGGUGGGUAAUGAGGAUGUACUGGAUUGUAUGCGAGACCUGAGCAUGAUGUAAAUAAUACAGAAUCAGGAAUGGAGAAUACACUGGUUUGGGCUGGGAUAGAGCUUGGAUUGGUCAUAGGAGAUAGUGUGGGGCUGUAAUUUGGUUUUGUGCAGAAAACUGUUGGUAACACAGGGAUGUGUUUGUUACACCUGAGCAGAGCUGACACUGAGUCAGGGCCCUUUCUGCUUCUCACCCCACCAGAGAGAGGCUGGGAAUGUGCAAGGAGCUGGGAGAGGACACAGCCUGGACAGCUGACCCCAGAGGAAUAUCCUGGACUACAUGGACUACAUGGUAUCAUACUCAGCACAUAAAGCUGGGGGAAGGAGAAGGAAUGUUUGGAAUUAUGGAGUUCAUCUUCCCAAGUCACCAUUAUGUGUGAUGGAGCCCUGCCUUUGCAGGGAUGGCUGAACACCUGCCUGCCCAUGGGAAGUGAUGAAUGGAUUCCCUGUUGUGCUUUGCUUGUGUGCACGGCUUUUGCUUUACCUGUUAAACUGUCUUGUUAUCAACCCGUAAGUCUUCUCACUUCUCUGAGUCUCUCCCCUGUCCCAGUGGGGGGGAGUGAGCAAGUGACUGCUGAGGAAGGAGAGAGAAAUACUCUUCAAUAACAUUCCUGGAAACUGUCCAGAGAGCACCCAGAUAAAACCUCUCAGCAGCAGGGGAGUAAAUGCAGUGCUUUAGAGAUGCCUCUCCCUCAUUCUUAUGGAAUAAAUCAAUGCCUGGGAGGCAGCUUCCUGUGGAUCAGCUGCAGAAAGAACCACACAAGAGUAUUUAGGAAUUACCACCCAUGAUUUUUUUGUAGCUACAAGUCUCAAUACAAAGAAUUUUAAUUAUUAUUUAUUCCUUGCAGGGAGAAAUAGCAGCUUGCUGGCUAAGGGCAUACUUGUUUGUUUAAUAUGUGCCAUUUGCAAAACCUCUCGUUAAGCAUCCUGAGCAUGUUAGUAACAGGUCACAUCUUACAGAUGAUGCAUUAUUUCUCACUUUUUUCCUCUCUCUUUAGGAAUAUGUUUUUUAACUUCCUGGUGAGUUUUCUGCUGGAGUAAACCUGAAAGAAGUCAGAAAUUCAAGGAACUCAGCCCAGUUCCAACCUUUGCUGUUCAGUGUUACUUCAGAUGCAUGAAAUUAAAUGCAGGAUGGUUGCUGGAGGGACCUCCUGAGAAGUCUGGAGUGAACUUAGGCAUUUGAAAUGUUUGGAGAUAUUCUGAAAAACUCCUGCCACUGGGCCAGUCCUUUUCCUGCAAUGAGUAUGCAGACUCUUCUGCAUUUGUUUAGUAUGUGCUGAGCUAGGUCAACAAACGGCCUGCUUGAAAAUCCCAGGCAAGGAGUUUCCAGCAGACACUGGCAACUGCCCUCCUCAACUGGGGUCCAAUUUCCAACAGGAGCAAAGCCAAGCUCAACAACAAAGUUAAAAGCCAAACCAUGAAAAAACUGACUUCCUUACAUUGUAAAUACAUCGGAAAAGGGCAGCAGUUCAAAAGGGAAAACGAGCAAAACUCUGAUUAUUUUCCUUGAAACUGAAUCCCAGGGGGUGAUUGUCCAUUGAGAUGCCCCCAGGAGAGUUGUGCUGCGCCAAGAAGCAAUAGGGUUUGGGUAGGACAUGGCCAAGAGGCCUCCAAACUGUUGCACAACAGGAAUUUGGGUACAGCGUAACAAUCGGCUGAGGAAAGGGAAAACAGUUCUCAAAAACCUUACUCCUCAGCUAAACCAGAUUCUCAGGUCAUCUUGAAGCUUAAUUUUGAUUCUUCAUCUGUGUUGGGUGGGGGUGGUUUUUCAGUGACGUGUAUGUGGUAACACACAUUGGAUGCAGUUCAAGUCAUCGUGAGAAAGUAGCUACAGGCAAAAAAUAAUAAAAAAAAAAGUCAUAAUGCUCUGAUUUGUAGUCUUGUUGUUUGGGUGCACUGAGAGCUCUGUUCAGGUUCUCCCACUUUGGAGCUCUAAAGGCACUGUAAAAUGACAAGAGGUCUUCAGCUGGCGAGUGCAAGCUCAGGGCAAACCCACCAUAAUCUUGGAAGUAACAAAAGGCCAGUGAGUAAAACUUUUCAGCCUUUAAAACCAAAGUCCAUAACAAACCUCAAUGGCCUUCAGAAUGGAAAGCAGAUGAAGUUGUUCAUCGGGGAGUACUGGAAGCAAUAGAGAUGAGCUUAUUUGUGUAUUGUAUUACUGUUAGCUGCUUUCCACUCCAACAUACACUCAGGAUCUCUAGGAUUUGGAAGCUGGGCAUCUGUGCUGAGGUUUCAGACCUCCCCCCCCACACCCCAAAACAAAAAAAAUCUUAAACGAAUCUACCUGGAUUAUGCUCUCUGUGGAGGCUGCUGUCAAUGGCCACCCUUCUAUAAGUUUUAUUACUGAGAACCUCCCCCUUCUGCCUCUUUGCUCCUGCUUUAAUUGAAGCUUUGCUAGCAGAUAGCCAUCAGAAAAGACAUCUGCAAUUCAAUUAGAUCUGUGCUUAAACUCCCGAUCUCUGUGAAACCGGCCGCUGCCAGAACAGAGUGCCCUCCAUGGGCUGGCUCACUGGGGCUGCAGCCUGCGGUGCUUUGCACUUCGUCCCUCUCCUGCCCUGCUGGCCCUGCUUGCAGGUGCUUCAAACAGGACCUGUUCCCCACAGGAGGCUCGUCGGAACUCAUUUCCUCUUCCUUGCAAAGCCAGAGAGAAGCUGGAAACUUGGCACCACUGAGGAGUGGUGAAACCUGCUUUAUAAUGUACUGAAAUGGUUGCUGCAGAGUGGAAUCUUUCUGCCAUGGGAG
Molecule: long non-coding RNA, 4095 nt
Organism: Parus major (Great Tit)
Lineage: Eukaryota; Metazoa; Chordata; Aves; Passeriformes; Paridae
Exons: 2
Source: RefSeq, a predicted model, not a curated record